RNAcentral lists this transfer RNA (93 nucleotides) under Oscillospiraceae bacterium. RNAcentral describes it as "tRNA-Ser". It matches the Rfam family "tRNA". Rfam says of the family: Transfer RNA (tRNA) molecules are approximately 80 nucleotides in length. Their secondary structure includes four short double-helical elements and three loops (D, anti-codon, and T loops). Lineage: Bacteria; Bacillati; Bacillota; Clostridia; Eubacteriales; Oscillospiraceae. The record is from RNAcentral.
GGAGAGUUGUCCGAGCUGGUCGAAGGAGCACGACUGGAAAUCGUGUAAACGGCAAACACCGUUUCGAGGGUUCGAAUCCCUUGCUCUCCGCCA